AUUGGAGUCGGUUUGAAAAACAGCCGCUCUCUGCAGUUUAGUGGCGAUUUCCGUGACAAAUUGGAGAGAAGCCGCUAUUUGUUCUUUCUUUCCCUCAUCCAUCACACGAGCAUUCUCCACCACGCCCGCCGCAUGUUCUUCUUCUCCUUCUUCCUUUAUUUCUUUAUUUGGAUUGUGGUUUAUUUUUCUUCUUUUUUUUCUGCUAGGUUUUCACCUGUUUACAAGAGGAGAAGUGCCCCUCACCCAUAACAAAGGGGCUCUUCUGUCCUUCUGCUUUCCACCUUCACUUCUGGUUUUCUCUUCAUGGUUUUUUUUUUUGUUCUGAUUUUUUGCUCACUCUGCUCUUAGGUUUUUCUACUAAUUAAAUUGAUUGUUUUGAUUUAUGGAAGAAGAAGAGAAAGCUCAAUAGAGAAUCUUUUUAGUCUAUUCCAUUCAAUAUCAGAAUAUCUAAACCAAGUUGUAAAUUGCAGUAUGAGAAUAAUUUUUACAAAUAUUUCUAUAAAUUUGUCAUAAUCAAGUGAUAAUACCCUUUGAGUUUGGAAAUGGGAACUUAGAAGAUAGGUCAUGAAUCUUGGUUGAUAUUGAGACUAUUACGCCUACUCAUGUUUUUAAUGUUGAUGAUUUCACUAGUGUAUUUAAUUUGAAGUGGUUUGAGGCUAACAAAACAGAAUCUAUUGGGGUUGAUGUUGUUGGUGUGCUAACAUUGGCAAAUGCUUGCGAGGACCAUAGCCUCUCCUUGUGAAUUAUGCCUUUAGUGGCAAUUUGAAACAUAAACCAAAUUCUAAUGCUUCUUUCUACUCUAAAACCCAAGUCAAGGCGAGUUCCAAAAAGUAUACAAUCUUGGUUAGAUGAUUAGAUGUCCGAUGAAUUUGGUGCAUCAGGACUUAUUGAUUUUUAUAAUCAGUAUAUAUUGCGAGUGAAUUUGUCUUUGACCCUUUUAAAAUUUUGUGUUAGGUUGCUUCUAAAAGAUUAUGAUUUAUGAAAAUGUAUGAACCCUCAAAAUUCAAUUUCCAAUAUCCUCUGAACUUAGCAAUUCACACAACUUCAUCACUAAGAUGACAAGAUCAGAUAAAGUGGCUAAAGUAUCAUUAUAUCUUGCAUAUCAAAACAAAGAGGGUCACUAGAGUUGAGUUGAACAAGAGACUCAGACACAAAGAACAACAGAAAAAAGCAGCAGAAGCUAAGAAGUUGGAGGACUUGUCGAAAGAAAUUGACAGCAUACCUGAAAUUAUGGAGGAAAUCAAGCAAGAUGAUGAGGAAAAGCAGAAGAACAUGCUAAGAUAGGUUAAAGGCACGGCCACCACGCUUAGGAAAGCACAAUGUUCAGUGAGCAUUACACACUCCUUUGUGCAAUUUAGAAACAAAGAUCAAUAUCAGCAUAAAAUAUCUCCGUAGCUCUCCACUUUUUGCAUUCAAUCUCAGCUACCUAUCCGCUAGAGAAGACCAUUAUUAAAAUGACAAAAUACCAUUUUACUUCUGGCAUUUUGUUUCGGAGAUAUCAUUGUCUUGAACUCUUGAUUUGUUAUUAAUUUACUCUUGUGAUAUUUUAGCCAUCUUUAGGUUGCUUUAUUUUUGUGUUUGUUUGGAUGUAGAAGCAAUUGAGCAGCUUUGUAAGACCAACAUUUUUUUAA
Arachis ipaensis is the source of this 1631-nucleotide non-coding RNA. Lineage: Eukaryota; Viridiplantae; Streptophyta; Magnoliopsida; Fabales; Fabaceae. The record is from RefSeq and is a predicted model, not a curated record.